Molecule: ribosomal RNA, 711 nt
Filed under: Triticum aestivum (bread wheat)
Lineage: Eukaryota; Viridiplantae; Streptophyta; Magnoliopsida; Poales; Poaceae
Description: partial small subunit ribosomal RNA
Source: RNAcentral
AUGGUACUCGUCUUUCAUAGCUUUGCAACCUCCAAGGUUCACAUGGUGUUCCUUGUUUCUCUUUUCUACCGCAGUGCUCUCAAUUGUGUUCAACUCUGUUAUGUCCUUUCUUUCAACUUUUCAACCUCUCAAGGUUCUUUGCUCCGCUACUUGAGCAGAGAGCCACCUGGUGCGGUGAGUCGGCGUCAUCAUCGCCUCGAGGUUGAGGUACGACCCAAUGAUGUCCUCGUCAACAUCAGGAGCAUGACUAUAAACCACACUAAAGCCAUAUAUCUAAAUAAUCUAGGAGAUUCGAGUGAAUUGUACAAAUAUCUAGAAAUAGAACAGCGAUAUCUAGAAAUAGCUAGCGAGAGUGUUGAAGCACUUAUAAACUGUGUUAACGAAAACAUUGGAUUUAGCGAUGGAAAACCAGUUGCUGCAAUAACGAUAUACAAAUGUCUUCUUCAUUGGAGAACUUUCGAGGCAGAAAAGACAAAUGUUUUUGAUCGGAUUAUUCAGAUUUUUGCUUCAGGAAUGCAGAAACAAGACAGCAACCCCGAUCUUGCAUACUGGCUAUCAAAUGCAUCAUCAUUGUUGAUUAUACUGCAAAAGAGUCUGAAACCUGCUGGCACUGUAACAACACCACUGAAAAGAACAACGACUCAGACGUCUUUCCUUGGGAGGAUGGUAUGUUAUAUAUAUAUAUCCUUUUAUUUUCUUGAACACGCAUAA